Molecule: long non-coding RNA, 9168 nt
Organism: Papaver somniferum (opium poppy)
Lineage: Eukaryota; Viridiplantae; Streptophyta; Magnoliopsida; Ranunculales; Papaveraceae
Exons: 3
Source: RefSeq, a predicted model, not a curated record
UCGGAGCUUUUUCUUGCCAUCAUUUUUCUUCCUGGUGAUUUUACUCCGCCGUAACUAAACAUGAUCAAAUCACGUAACUAGUGAGCUCAAUGGAGUUAGUGGUUUCACUUAAUUUCUGAUGGUGUUCACGAUGGUUGGCUUUGUAAAUGAGGCAAGUGAUUUUCACUCAAUUUAUCGAUGUGAUUUUUAUCAAUCGAUGGGUUUAUGCUAAUGCACUUGGUGCAUGUUUUGAUCAGGUAUUUUUAUUACAAUUACAUCCUUGAAUAGUGAAGCUAGGGUUUAUACCCAGUUAGGGCUUUGUGAAAAUUUGAGGAUUUGACUUUAUUUCAGUUGAUAUUAAGUCAUGGGAUAGCUCCAUUUUACAUCAUUUCCACCGUGUUUAUGAAUCUGAAUUGUUUGAAUUGAUAAGUUAUGGUGCCAGUUGUAGAAUUAACAUUCUUCAUGUUAAGAAUUUGGGGCUUUCCCCCAAAUUCUGUUUAUACGGUCUAAGUCGACCCAUUUUGUGGUUAUUUGCAGGGAGAUUUUAUGGUUUAUAACUGGCUUGUGAGUAGAUAUUCUUGUCCUUGAGUAUAUUAGUGGGUUGAAUCACUCCAUUUGACUUUAUGUUUAGUCUUUUGAUUUUAUUUUCGAUCAAAAUAGUGUUCCAAUAGAUUAUUUUCGAUUUCUUAAGAAAAUGGAUGAAAUACUUGGGAUGACUUUUAACAAGAAAUGCUGUGAUAAUCUUAUUUCAUAUUUCUUCUUGUCUUUACGUGGUAUGAGAUAAUCAUGUGAUGUGCUGGAUUAGUUGAUAGUAAGAACUGUGUUGGUGCUGCUGCUUAAGUACGAAAGGAAAUGCAUUUCAUUAUCAUGACUUCUUACAAGGGAUUUUUUACUUAAUGCAUGGAAAUCUUAAGACUUUAGUAUCUGUGGUUGAAUGGUUUAGACCAUUAUUUUUAUUCAAUAUCUAUAUUCAUUUGUAUCAGCACAUUUUUUGAUGUCGGAUUAUGCUUUAGUACGAAAUGAAUUCUGUUUUAUAUUGAUUGAUGGGUUAACCUGAGGUGUUUGUAGCUGAUGGAAUGUUUUGAACUGGAGACUUAUAAUUUUUGACUACUCUUAAGGUGUUGUUUACAGCAACAUUCUCUAGACCAUCUUGCACAGUAAGAAGAGUGAAAUUGGUCACACCUACUGUACUGAAUAUUUUGUUCUUGCAAUAGUUUGCUUGCUAGACUAAGUGACUAACUGAACGUGUUUGAGAUGAGAUUUUAUUGUAGAAUCGCAAAGAAAACAAAAACCCAAACGUUCAGUUAUUGCUAGUGGCGGGUUACUAUGUAUCUUACGAAUUUCUGCCGUUUGCUUCCUUGGUUUGAUCUAUAUGCCAUAUCAAUGAUUGGUUUGACAGUGUCAUAUUGGACCUUUUACCUCUGCUGUUUAACAUCUAUUAUGAGAUCUAGGAAAGCUACUAGCGUUGGCUUAUUAGCUUGUGAGAUGAUUACUGUCGACUGUUUGUGGCAAUAAAGAACUGACAAAUAUUUGCCUGUUUAACCUCCUAUGGACCUAGACAAAAUGAAUGCAUUUUCUUCCGCGGAAAUGCAUGAUGUCCUAAUGAAAUUCACGUGUAGAAAGUUUGGCUAGUAUCCUAUGUUUUCUUAUCAACUGUUGUCUAAUAAGCUUUUCACCUCCUAUGGUGCCACUUUGUCUUUUAUUGAUCUAUUUUUAUUAUAAGGAAUAUGCAUCUCAUAAAGAUCAGUAGCAUACUAAGCAGGGCUAAGCCGUGUGUAUGGGUGUCAACGACGUGAUCCUGACUUUAGUUUUGUUAUUACUCUACUGAAAUUGAAAUGCAUAGCAUUUGUCGUGAUGGCAUGUCCAUUUUACAUUGGCCUCAUGAUGUUGUACAUUUGGUCUCUACCACCCCUUGGCAUAGUACUUUUUAGACUGAACUUCAUAUCAAAUCAUAAUGUUGUUUGUGCAUUCAUAUUAUACUUCGUUGUUGUCCGAUCUUGAUAUGAUAUUUCACGCGGUUUGUAUAGUAUAAAUAGUCCAGUUGUUUACAUGAUUUUUUGUUUAUGGCCUGACGAUGGUUAAGGAUAUGUACCUCAUAGUGGUAAGUGACAUACUUGAGUUUUGUGUUCCGCGUAGUUGAUAUCGUACUAACCUUGUUAGAAUAUUCUGUAUCAAUUUUUACGACUCUCCUUGUUAGCAGUAUUUGUGUUUAUAUGGGUGUAUUAUGUUGAGUCCCGUAUAUGGUUAGCUGCUUGUCAUGAAUUUAGUGUAUUAAAUGUAGACAUCCUUAACAAGCUCCAAGUCUUCAAUGAUGUCAUGCAGGUUAUUCUUGUUCUGCGUGGUUUAGUGUUUUUGGGUUAAUGUGGUUAAGCCUUCUUAUGGUAUUAAAGUAUAUAUGUUUACUGUGUAAUCAUUAAAUUUGUCACUUUUAGAUGAUUUCCUUAACUGUAUUCAUGCCGCCGAGACACUUAAAAUCUAGCCAGCUAUGGUAAAUGGUUGCUUUGCCACUCUAAAAGUUAUUAUCAGUAGAUACCAUUUGUCAAAGUGAGAGGUUUCUUAAUGUUUGUCAGUAAUGGUAAAAAAGGGUUAUGGGUUGUGAACUUAUUAGUACGGUGCUCCAGCAUCUUAUAUUCUUAUCCUUUAGAUAUCGUUUGGUAAUGUGAUAAGCUAGGGAUCGUCUUUGCAACGCAGUUCAUACUAUCUGUUGUUAGAGAUAGUUGCUGCUAUUAAUAUAUGAUAUACUAUCUAUCACUGCUAGUUACCAAGUAGUUAUCAUCUAGUAAGAGAUAGUUAUUACCAUUGUGGGUAGUUCAUACCAUCUACAAAGACUGGUGAACUACGGUCGUGCUUGGUCCCUGUCGAGCUAUGGGGGAUGGUACGCAGGCAGUCGUUUUGCGGUUCAGCACAUAUCUGCGAGGUUGUUCAUAUCGUCUGAAAAGAGUUGGUUACUGCUGGGAAGUUCAUACCAUUUAUUCGGAGAUGAUUGCAGCCUUGGCAGUGCAUAUAUAUCGCUGGUAAGAGGUAGUUGCAGUGCUGUCUGUUCAUACUGUCCAGUGAGGAGAUGAUUGCUGCUUUCCACCAGUUCAUAUAAUCUGAUAAACUACGUAAAACGUGAGAUGGAGAUGUUGCCAUUUGCGGUAUUUCAUAGCAUCUGAGAAGUAUGGUUGCUGUCAUGGUGGCUGUUCAUACCAUCGAUCUAGAGAUGAUUAUCAGCUUUGUUGAGUAGUUCAUAUUGGCUUUUGAGGCAUUUGCCCAGAGUUGAGAAGAACUUGUUCAGAGCCUCCACGCCGCUUUAGGUAGAGCAUUGUUGAACUCACUAAGAGUCUAAGACUUAGGUCUUUAAUUCCAAGACCACCAUAUUUCCACUCAAUUGAUUGAUGUGAUUGUUAUCAAUCAAUGGGUUUAUGCUAUUGCACUUGAUGCAUGUUUUGAUCAGGUAUUUUUGUAAGCAUAGUAAAGCUAGGGUUUAUACCAACUUAGGGCUUUGUGAAAAUUUGCGGAUUUAACUUUAAAUUCAGUUGAAUUAAGUCAUAGGAUAGCUCCAUUUUACAUCAUUUCCACCAUGUUUAUGAAUCAAAAUUGUUUAAAAUGAUAAGUUAUGCUGCCAAGUUUUAGAAUUAAGAUUCUUCGUGGUAAUAAUUUGGGGCUUUUCUCCAAAUUCUGUUUAUAGGGUCUAAGUUGACCUAUUUUGUGGUUGUAUAAAGAGAGAUUUUGAGAUUUAGAACUGGCUUGCGAGUAGAAAUUCUUGUCCUUGAGUUUAUUGGUGGGCUGAAUCACUCCAUUUGAGUUUAUAUUUAGUCUUUUGAUUUUGUUGGUCUCAACUACAUAAAAAUUGUGCCAUUGACUUUGUUAGAUUAUUUUCAAUUUCUUAAGAAAAUGGAUGAAAUACUCGAUGACUUUAACAGCAGAUGCAGUGAUUAUCUUAUUUCCUAUCUCUUCUUGGGUUUACAUGGAAUGAGAUAAUUGUGUGUUAUGCUGGAUUAGUUGAUAGUAAGUACUGUGUUGGUGCUGCUUAAGUACGAAAGGAAGUGCAUUUUUUUAUCGUAACUUCUUCCAAAUGCAGUGAUUUUUACCUAAUAUGUGGCCGUGAAAUCUAAAGAUUUUAUUAUCUGUGGUUGAAUGGUUAGACCGUUGUUUUUAUUCAGUAUCUAUAUUCAUUUGUAUGAGCGCAUGUAUUGGUGUCGGAUUGUGCUUUAGUAUGAAAUGAAUUUUGUUUUUAUAUUGAUUGAUGGGUUAACCUGAGGUGUUUGUAACUGAUGGAAUGUACUGGACCGAAGACUUAUAAUUUGUAAAUGUUAAUACCAUGAAAUUUUACACUACAGAAUGCUAGAUUUAUGUCCGGACACUUGGUCUGGGAAAAUAUAGAUGAUCUCACCAUGACAACUCUUUAGGUGUUGUUGACAGCAACUUUCUCUAGGCCACUUUGCACAACAAAACAAGUGAAAUUGGUCGCACCGAUUGUAGUGAAUAUUUUGUUCUUGCAAUAGUUUGCUACUUUGCUUGCUAGACUAACUGAAGUAACGAACGUAUUUGAGAUGAGAUUUUGUAGUAGAAAUGUAAAGAAAACAAAGACCCAAACGUCCAGUUAUUGCUAGUGGCGAGGUUACUAAGUAUUUUUGAAUUCCUCCGUUUUAGCUUCCUUGGUUUGAUCUGUAUUCCAUAUCAAUGAUUGGUUUGACUGCGUCAUAUCGGACUUUUACAUCUGCCGUUUAGCAUGUAUUAUAAGAUUUCUAGGAAAGCCUGGCAUGUGAGAUGAUUACUGUCGACUGUUUGUGGCAAUUAGAAAUGACAAAUGUUUGCCUGUUUACCCUCUUUGGACCUGGAAAAAAUGGAUGCAUUUUCUUCUGUGGAAUUGCACGAGGUCCUAUUAAAAUUCACGUUUUGAAAGAUUGGCUAGUAUCAAUCCCAUCUUUUCUUACUGUUGACUAAUAAGCUUUUCACCUCCUACGGUGCCGCUUUGUCUUUAAUGAUUUAUUUUUAUAAGGAAACUGCGUCUCAUAGGGAUCAGUAGCAGACUAAGCAGGACUAAGCCGUGUGUAUGGGUGUCGACGACGUGAUCCUGACUUUGGAGUUUGUUAUUAUUCUACCAAAUUUGUAAAGAGUUAUGUCAGAACUUGGCCUGUGCUGGAUAUGCUAGAGGAAUCAAGGAAAUGCGUGGUCAUUUGUCGUGCUUGCGUGUCCAUUUUUACAUUGGCCAUGGUGUUGUACGUUUGGUCUCUACCACCCCUUGGCAUGGUACUUUCUAGACUGACUUUUAUAACGAUUCAUCAUAAUGUUUUUUGUGGAUUAAUAUUACUUUUCAUUGUAGUUCGAUCUUGAUAUAAUAUUUUAUUUGGUUUGUGUAAAUAGUCCAGUUGGAAAUCAACAAGCUCCGAGUCUUCAAUGAUGUCAUACAGGUUAUUCUUGUUUUGCGCGGUUUAGUACUUUAAUGUUGAAAUUAGAUUGGUUACGCCUUCUUAUCGUAUUAAAGUAUAUAUGUCUAUAACAGUCAAUUUGUAUACUCAUUAAAUUUGUCACUUUUAGACGAUUUCCUUGACUGUAUUCAUGCCGAGGCACUUAAAGUUAUCUGGCCAGCAUUUUGAUGGUACAGAAUUACUUUGCCACUCUAAAGGUUAUUAUAUGUAGAUGCCAUAUGUGCAAAUGGGAGGUUGCUUAAUGUUUGUUAGUAAUGGUGAAAGAGUUAUGGGUUGUUAUAAAAAUAUUGGUAUGGUGUCUCCGGCAUCUCAUUAUUCUUAUCCUUAAGAUACCGUUGGUAAUGUGGUAAGCUAGGGAUAGUUGUUGCAACGCAAUUCAUACUAUCCGUAAAUAGAGAUAGUUGCUGCUAUGAUAGGAAGUUCAUACUAUUUACCACAGGAGAUGAUUGCUACCUACCAAGUAGUUCAUAUCAUCUAGUAAGAGAUAGUUACUACCAUUGUGGGUAGUUCAUACUAUCUACAAAGACUGAUAAACAACGGUCGUGCUUGAUCCGUUUCGAGCUAUGGAGAAGGGUACGCAGGCAGCCGUUUUGCAGUUCAGCACAUCUGUGCGAGGUUUUUCAUAUCGUCGGAAAAGAGUUGGUUAGUGCUUGGAAGUUCAUACCAUACGGAGAUAAUUGCAACCCUGGCUGUGCACAUAUAUUGUGGGUAAGAGGUAGUUGCAGUACUGGCUGUUCAUACUGCCUAGUGAGGAGAUGAUUGCUGCUUUCCAGUUCAUAUCAUCUGAUAAACUGUGCAAAACAUGAGAAGGGAUGAUUGCUGCCAUUCGAGGUAAUUCAUAUCAUCUGAGUAGGAUGGUUGCUGUUAUAGUGGCUGUUCGUACCAUCGAUCCAGUGAUGGUUACUAACUCUGUUGAGUAGUUCAUAUUGGCUUUUAAGGCAUUUUCCCAGAGUUGAGAAGAACUUGUGCAGAGCCUCCAUGCAGCUUUAGGUAGAGCAUUGUUGAAGACACUGAGAGUCUAAGACUAAGGUCUCUACCACCGUAUUUUUUAUCUUCACACAGCUUACUCCAAGUAAUAAUAUAUAUUCUUUACCUGUAGACUCGCCUUGCCCAUUCUUUACCUGUAGACUUGCCUUGCCCCACCAGAAUUGUCUUUGGAGCUUGGAAGUAGAAAAGAGUAAUACUAGACACACCGAGACGGUAGUCUGGGAACGAAUCUAACGUCAGGCCGACUUUUAUUUACAAUCCUCAGGUUAAAAAUCAAAUUGGCAGUUUCUUCUACUGAUCUUUAACCUGAAGAUUGUAAAUAAGUACCAAUGCUUGCAGUUAUCUCCUAACAUUCCCAAUAUACCUGCCAACAUUAAUCUGUCCGAGAUGCUGUUUUUACUGGGCUAGCAGGCACAAUGUGUACUACAAUUGUUGUGUAGGAGUGUAUUGGUGAUUGUUUCUUGGUUGAAUUACCAAAAUAUGUGAGUGAAAUUGAUUUUCAUUGUAUGUGGUUUUAUUGUCUCUAAGAAAGUGAUUUUCAUUUCACCCUUUUUGUACUGUUUUAUUGAUUCAGGAUUAUGAGAAAGGUUUAGUGAUUGCAGUAAUUCCUUUCACGGUUUCACCUCGAAGGGAUCCAUUUACUGAUCUUUCGUUUGCCUUAUUAUAUUUUUUUCUUCUUUUAAUAAAGAAUCAGUGACAGUGACAUAUUGAUUCAAAGUGUUUUGAAGUAUCUCAUAUUCCUAUACAGACUCGACCAUUUUAUAAUCUCGUACAAGGAAGUGAAGCUUUAGUUGUUUUUAAACAUGAUUCUGGAACUAUGCCAAUCCAGUCUUGCAUAUCAACCCCUAAAAUCCCUGGACCAUGGGAAUUCUUUAUUUGCUUGCUGAGAUUUAUGCUCUAUCAAAUCUAAAGAUAAACCUCAAGUUUGAACAUCUAGGUAUAUAUUUCAUCCCAUUUGUUUAUGGGAGCUUGCUUUGUUACAUUCUUUCACGCAAUCAAUUUGAUCUCACUGCACCUUUUUACUCAUUUGGUUUUCCUUUAUUAUGUGUUUUGCAUCCUAAGUUCUAUUUAAGAAUCUUGGAGUCAAGCUGACCUCGCUCUUGAAAGAUCGUUCCAGGAAGUUGAAGGAGAUCCUGACUUCUCCAAAAAAGAUGUCACAGCCAGCCAACCCCUAGUUAUUCCUGAAGUUAACGCACCAGUAAGUGUUGAACCACAACCUGAGAUUGCGAAUUAAUCUCUUCCCGGGUCAGUCAAAUGCAUCACGUCAGAAUCCUACUCAUCAUCGUUCUCCAUUGACUGAGGAUGAAAAGAUGCCAGCUUCAGUCUGGGGCUUCCUGUCACUCCGUCUCAGUCGCCAUUUUCUGUUAGUCAGACAAGUAUUACUUGUUUGAUGCAGCGCGUGUACACAUACAAAGGGUUUUAUGCAUGAAUUACGCGAUUAGGUUGCUAAUGAGUUAGAUGCACUUUAGGGUCUAGUGUAGAACAAUGUACGCUAAAUUCUAGUGGUGGUAUGGACUGAUUGGUAAUGGUGGAUGGAGCAGGUGAUAUGAAGGUGGUCAUGAAGCGGUGAGUGGCUGGUGAUAAUGGUGGGCCGUGAAUGAGCUGAUGGGUUGGUUUUCUAUUAGUGUAGGGUUGAGUUUGGUGUUUAUCUUUACACAGCUUACUCCAAGUAAUGAUACAUAUUCUUUACCUUUAGACUUGCCCCACCAGAACUGUCUUGGAACUUGGAAGUAGAAAAGAGUAACUCUAGACACAGCCAAGGUUCAAAUGGCUUGUCUUCAUCUGCCUGAUUCUACCUUGAAACAAAUGGAUUCAAUCCAAUGUUGGUAUUGGUGGAAUCACCGGCAACCAAGAGGUAUGUCUUUCAAUUCUUGGCCUUCUGUUUGUUAUCCUAAACGUGAUGGUAGGUUGGGGUUUAAGAAUCUACGAGCUACAAAUGAAGGUUUCUUAACUAAGUUAGGUUGGGGCAUGAUUAACAAUCCUGAGGCUAAAUAUUCUCAUAAUCUUAAUCUGCUUCAUGAAGUUCUCACAACUAAAGGCUCUUGGGUCUGGCAAAGCAUACAAAGGGUGUUAAAAUGGGUCAAACAAUUCCAUGUUUAGGAGAUAGGGGAUGGCACUGAUGUAAGAGCUUUCCAUGAUAACUGGAUUCCCAGUACUGCCAUUAAUACUUCAGCCACUCACUCUUCUACUUUAUUAGAUGUUAAGGUCAGCUCAUUUAUACUUCCGGCGUCUUAUUCCUGGGAUGUGUUUGCUCUUCAGCAAUAUUUUUCUCCAAGUCAGGUGCAAACUACCACUUCUAUUCGUCUUUCUAAUGCUGGUCAUGAUACUCUGCGAUGGUCUUUAACUAACAGUGGUGACUUUACUCUAAAGUCAUAAUAAAGCAGCUGACCAGCUUGCUAAGUUUGCGAGGUCUCAAGUUUGUAAUAUACAAUGGUGGUACACUCCGCCAGUUGUGCUCCAGCCUCCAGUCUACUGUUACUGGAUCUCUGUAAGUUCUGGUUUGUUGAAUGAAAGUUGUGUUCCUUUUCAAAAGAAGAAAAGAAGAAAAAACAGCCAAGAAUCACCCGUUCCUAUGAUAGAUAGACAGGGAAAAUAUACGUCUGUAUUUUCAUUCACUCCUAGUUAGCUUCGGGAAGGUAAAAGGGUGAUGAACAACGAGUCAAGGGCCGAUUAUUGUUCUUAAUACGUAACAUAUAUCAUAAAAUGGUAAGAAUAGGCAAUCAAUCAUAACUCUUACAUAUUAAAUCAAGAUCAGGAAUCAUAGAACCGAAAUGAAAAAUUGAAAGAA